This is a small nucleolar RNA of Mus spicilegus (steppe mouse), 93 nucleotides long. Its record names the gene SNORD116. It matches the Rfam family "Small nucleolar RNA SNORD116". Rfam says of the family: HBII-85 is a member of the C/D class of snoRNAs, which contain the C (UGAUGA) and D (CUGA) box motifs. HBII-85 is encoded in a tandemly repeated array with another C/D snoRNA, HBII-52, in the Prader-Willi syndrome (PWS) region of chromosome 15. Unlike most other snoRNAs, HBII-85 is expressed prevalently in the brain (but is absent in PWS patients) and lacks any significant complementarity with ribosomal RNA. The record is from Ensembl. Lineage: Eukaryota; Metazoa; Chordata; Mammalia; Rodentia; Muridae.
GGAUUGAUGAUGAUUCUCAAACAAACAAUCCUUGGAAAGCUGAACAAAAUGAGGGACUAUUCAGUACUGCCAUAGUUAUUGUGACUGAGGUCC